GUGCCCGCUUCAGCAGUAUGGAUACUAAAAUUGGAACGAUACAGAGAAGAUUAGCAUGACCCCUGCACAAGGAUGACAUGCAAAUUUGUGAAGCAUUCCAUAUUUUU
Molecule: small nuclear RNA, 107 nt
Filed under: Cebus imitator (Panamanian white-faced capuchin)
Lineage: Eukaryota; Metazoa; Chordata; Mammalia; Primates; Cebidae
Source: RNAcentral